This 484-nucleotide ribosomal RNA is filed under the name uncultured bacterium. RNAcentral's name for it is "partial 16S ribosomal RNA". It matches the Rfam family "Bacterial small subunit ribosomal RNA", at positions 30 to 507 of the family's 1533-position model. The record is from RNAcentral.
AUUGAACGCUGGCGGCAGGCCUAACACAUGCAAGUCGAGCGGAUGAAGGGAGCUUGCUCCUGGAUUCAGCGGCGGACGGGUGAGUAAUGCCUAGGAAUCUGCCUGGUAGUGGGGGAUAACGUCCGGAAACGGGCGCUAAUACCGCAUACGUCCUGAGGGAGAAAGUGGGGGAUCUUCGGACCUCACGCUAUCAGAUGAGCCUAGGUCGGAUUAGCUAGUUGGUGGGGUAAAGGCCUACCAAGGCGACGAUCCGUAACUGGUCUGAGAGGAUGAUCAGUCACACUGGAAGUGAGACACGGUCCAGACUCCGACGGUAGGCAGCAGUGGGGAAUCUUGGACGAUGGGCGAAAGCCUGAUCCAGCCAUGCCGCGUGUGUGAAGAAGGUCUUCGGAUUGUAAAGCACUUUAAGUUGGGAGGAAGGGCAGUAAGUUAAUACCUUGCUGUUUUGACGUUACCAACAGAAUAAGCACCGGCUAACUUCGUG